Molecule: transfer RNA, 74 nt
Filed under: Pelodytes ibericus (Iberian parsley frog)
Lineage: Eukaryota; Metazoa; Chordata; Amphibia; Anura; Pelodytidae
Description: tRNA-Lys
Source: RNAcentral
CACUAAGAAGCUAGAUAGGAACAAGCAACAGCCUUUUAAGCUGUAAACGGGUGGCCCCUAGCCACCCUUAGUGA